GCGGGAGUGCCGGAGUGGUCAAACGGGCUCGGUUGAGGGCCGAGUGGCUUAAGCCUGCGCGUGUUCGAACCACGUCUCCCGCA
Molecule: transfer RNA, 83 nt
Filed under: Nanobdellota archaeon
Lineage: Archaea; Nanobdellati; Nanobdellota
Description: tRNA-Leu
Rfam family: tRNA
About the family: Transfer RNA (tRNA) molecules are approximately 80 nucleotides in length. Their secondary structure includes four short double-helical elements and three loops (D, anti-codon, and T loops).
Source: RNAcentral